CUUUAGGUAGUUUUUAAGAAAACUUCCAAGAGCAGAGAGAAUUCGUGUACGCACAGCACGAAGGUACGAUGCGCACUGCGAAUUUUUCAUUAAUUUCAUUUAAACUCUUCGAUUUUUGUUGAAGGUGGCUUCUAGAAACAAACCAAGAUAUUUUCAUUAAGGAGAUAUUCUUCAAGAAUGAGAGGUAACGCGCCACACCAGCUCCAAACGGAUUGUUUGUGGGCAAAACUGCAAUGUGUGCAAUUUUCCAAACAGUUUUGUAUGCAGAUCUAUGUCUUGUUCAAGUUUGAAGUUAUAAAAACUAAUCAUUAGUUUUUAAUAAUCUAGUACCAUUCUGAACGAUUGGUUCUUAAAAUUCACUGUUUUGUGUUUGAUAAUGGAAAAUGUGUUUAAAAUUGUAAUGGCACAUAUUUGACAGCAAUAUAGCUCAGAUUAAGGAUACAUAUAUUGAAAACAUUUGAGUCCUCGACAGCUGCCGAAUAGUUUAUUUAGUAGCAAAAUAGAAUAUGUGAGCUUUGUUCCAGGAUUCCAUUAAAAAUUCGGAAUUCUUUGAAAACUAUGUGCGAAUGCUUUCCAGAAUAUAAUGAAAACUUGCCUAAAGAAAAUGAAAGAUUUAUGUACCAGUGCUUCUCUGGAAGAUUCUUGUGUAUUCUUUACAGAAGAAGUAAAAUGUAGAAAAACGAGAGAACCAUUUGAAAGUCAUCAAACUUAAAGUUUAGCUUUCAAAUGUACAAAAGGUACUAUCACAGACAAACAGACGUAACUGCUAGAACAAUUAUCAAUUCAAAACAUAG
Aedes aegypti (yellow fever mosquito) is the source of this 794-nucleotide long non-coding RNA. RefSeq lists it as uncharacterized. The transcript is spliced from 2 exons. The record is from RefSeq and is a predicted model, not a curated record. Lineage: Eukaryota; Metazoa; Arthropoda; Insecta; Diptera; Culicidae.